CGGCAGGCUUAACACAUGCAAGUCGAGGGGCAGCACGGGUAGCAAUACCUGGUGGCGACCGGCGCAAGGGUGCGUAACGCGUGAGCAACAUGCCCUAUACAGGGGGAUAAUCCAGGGAAACUUGGUCUAAUAUCCCAUAGUAUUUAGAGGAGGCAUCUUCUAUAAAUUAAAGCUUCGGUGAUAUAGGAUUGGCUCGCGUGACAUUAGCUAGAUGGUGAGGUAACGGCUCACCAUGGCAAUGAUGUCUAGGGGUUCUGAGAGGAAGGCCCCCCACACUGGGACUGAGACACGGCCCAGACUCCUACGGGAGGCAGCAGUGAGGAAUAUUGGACAAUGGAUGGAAAUCUGAUCCAGCCAUGCCGCGUGCAGGAAGACAGCCCUAUGGGUUGUAAACUGCUUUUAUAUGGGAGCAAUAAGGUCUACGUGUAGACUGAUGAGAGUACCAUAUGAAUAAGCAUCGGCUAACUCCGUG
Molecule: ribosomal RNA, 472 nt
Filed under: uncultured bacterium
Lineage: Bacteria
Description: bacterial SSU rRNA
Rfam family: Bacterial small subunit ribosomal RNA
Source: RNAcentral